Molecule: ribosomal RNA, 499 nt
Filed under: uncultured soil bacterium
Lineage: Bacteria
Description: bacterial SSU rRNA
Rfam family: Bacterial small subunit ribosomal RNA
Source: RNAcentral
AGAUUGAACGCUGGCGGCGUGCCUAACACAUGCAAGUCGAGCGGUAACAGGUGUAGCAAUACAUGCUGACGAGCGGCGGACGGGUGAGUAAUGUUUGGGAAUCUGCCUAUUAGUGGGGGACAACCCGGGGAAACUCGGGCUAAUACCGCAUAAGCUCUACGGAGGAAAGCCGGGGACCGCAAGGCCUGGCGCUAGUAGAUGAGCCCAAAUUGGAUUAGCUAGUUGGUGAGGUAACGGCUCACCAAGGCGACGAUCCAUAACUGGUUUGAGAGAACGACCAGUCACACCGGAACUGAGACACGGUCCGGACUCCUACGGGAGGCAGCAGUGGGGAAUAUUGGACAAUGGGGGGCAACCCUGAUCCAGCGACGCCGCGUGGGUGAAGAAGGCCUGCGGGUUGUAAAGCCCUUUCGGUGGGAUAAAAAGCCUUGGUUUAACACGACCAGGUCUUGAUCUAACCCAAGAAAGAAGCACCGGCUAACUCUGUGCCAGCAGCCGC